RNAcentral lists this long non-coding RNA (449 nucleotides) under Mus pahari (shrew mouse). RNAcentral's name for it is "lncRNA (MGP_PahariEiJ_G0004266.1)". Lineage: Eukaryota; Metazoa; Chordata; Mammalia; Rodentia; Muridae. The record is from RNAcentral.
GGAACACACACAGAAGCCAAGGGAGGAAAUUCACAGACCACCCCCUCCUCAAAUUACAGUGCACACAGGUCACAUGUCAGAGGUUGAGUUAAUGGAUCCAGCAGAGUGGCUAGCUGGGGAGGCCUUCCUGGAGGAGGAAUGCAGGUGUAUGUCACCAUACCCAGACUUUACCUGAGCUUGCAGAGGAGUGACUGAGCUCGCUCCAAGAGCGCUCCUUUGUUCUGCUUAAGCAUAUGCGUCUGUCCUCUGGCUCCUGGCCAGCCUUCCCGCUAGAUCUCUUCCAGGUGGAGAGAGAAUGGGGGCCUUUACCUGUGGCACAGAAGGCUAUGUGAAGGUCAUCAUCCUGUGUUGGUGGCAGACUGAGACCUCUGGUGAUGGGGGGCAGACACCCACUAUUGGAGUUGCUCUUAUUCCCUCUCAUCUGUGUGACUAAAGUGUGAUUCCAUCUG